This 468-nucleotide ribosomal RNA is filed under the name uncultured bacterium. RNAcentral's name for it is "partial 16S ribosomal RNA". It matches the Rfam family "Bacterial small subunit ribosomal RNA", at positions 28 to 507 of the family's 1533-position model. The record is from RNAcentral.
GACGAACGCUGGCGGCGUGCUUAACACAUGCAAGUCGAACGGAGAGGCCCCAGCUUGCUGGAGUGGUCGAGUGGCGAACGGGUGAGUAACACGUGAGCAACCUGCCCCUGACUCUGGGAUAACCGCUGGAAACGGGGUCUAAUACCGGAUACGAGCUGCGUCCGCAUGGGGACUUUCUGGAAGGUUCUUCGGUUGGGGAUGGGCUCGCGGCCUAUCAGCUUGUUGGUGGGGUAGUGGCUUACCAAGGCGACGACGGGUAGCCGGCCUGAGAGGGCGACCGGCCACACUGGGACUGAGACACGGCCCAGACUCCUACGGGAGGCAGCAGUGGGGAAUAUUGCACAAUGGGCGAAAGCCUGAUGCAGCGACGCCGCGUGAGGGAUGACGGCCUUCGGGUUGUAAACCUCUUUCAGCAGUGAAGAAGCGAAAGUGACAGUACUUGCAGAAGAAGCACCGGCUAACUACGUG